UAUUGAUAUAUUGAGAACCAUGACCACAGUAAUUGAAACAGUACAUAUGCAGCAGGUUUGUAUAAAAAAAGUUACACACAUGUGUGCAGUGUGGUCUGAAGUAUUAUCAUUACUGCUUAGGGAACUAAAACGUUUCACUGGGGAUAACUACAGCAGCCAAAAAUCAGCUAUUAUGUAAUAGAGAUCAAUUGUGCUCAAGCAGUAAGCAGGAGUCUGAUUACAGGAGACAAUCUCUCUUCAAUACCAUCAAGUGGACGUAUGUGCUGUGGGAUGGCAGCACAGCCCAUAUAGUAACACCCUCUCUAGCACAGAUACAGCUGCUCCCCAAGGGAAUCAAAAGUGAAAUUCUUGGGUGUUUUCACAGAACAUUCAAGAAAGUUGUUAAUUAAGAAGGUUACAUUUAUGCAACAAAAACUCAUCUUCUUAUUCUUCUUUUCCCUCCCACCUUGCCCUAUCUUCACAUCAUUUCUCCUUAUUCAGUGUUUGUUAGCAGACAUAAGUCAUUCUCUGCAAGGAUAAGUGAGACAUUUUUCUUCUUUAAUUUCCCUUUCUAACUGCCCUUGCCAUUUUGUAGGAAAAUUUCCAGCUUGAAAGAGAACAGUGCAUGCUUGCUGUGGAUAUCAUGUGAACAGAAAUUACGUGGUUUGGAUUUGUGAGAAUUCCAGGAGAAAAAGUGUUGCAAGUAAUCUCCAUAAUUUAUUUUUAAAAAAAAAAAGCUCAGGAAAUACCCUAAUGAUUUAGCUGACAAUAUCCAAAAAGAGAUUCAUGAGGUUCUCUGACUCCUAGUAAGUAAGUACAUUUGCUUAAGAUGUAAUUGAAAAAAAAUGUGUUACCGUUUAGAUUUUCCAUUUUGUGUCUCCUGUCCAGGCACAGUUCAUUGCUGGCAACUCUUGAUUUAUACUAUGUAGUUUUUCAUCAUCCUAACAGUCCUGCCGGAGCUACAAAGUUAAUGGCUGAAGGGAGAUAGGUACCAGAGAACAGCUGGGGAAGGCUGGAGUGAAAGGCUGGUGACAUCUAUAGAUCUACGGAGUUACUGCAGUUUCCUUUGCCUUUUGCUUUCCUCAGUCAUUCAGGCUGAUGACAAAAACGCAAGACUUUGCUUGAAAAAUAGUCCUGUGCUGCCUCACCACUGCAAAACACUGCCUGACCAAACUGUUGUGUUUUUAGGAAAUGCUCUUUUCCAGGGGGUAGGUGGACAGAGAGGAACCAGGAUUGCUUAGUUUAAAUCAGUGAUGGAUAUUGGAUGGAAAGGAGACAUUCUCAUAAAAAAAUUACUUCCCAGCAAAGUUUGAAGAAUCAAAGUUAAUAUCAAACAUCAUACUUACCAACCAGGGAAGUAGUUUCAGAACACAUGCUUGAGGAUAAUUUGUCUUGUUGCCAUCAGCUUUUGACAUCCAAAAAUCACAUUGGAAUGAGCUGUGGAAAGAAAGGAACAAACUCUGGAGCGCAAUAAUAAGAUCUGUGAGUUUGUGAUCAUUUCCCUGACUGAUCCUCCACAAAGCUUAUAGACAAAGUAGUGGAUGAGCUGGUUUGAGAGCCUAUGAUGUUACAAAAUUCUCUCUUGCAUCACUGGUUUUAUACAAAGAAAACAAUUCUCAGCAGUCAGAUCUACUUGUUUGUCUCUGAGGUAAGUUUUAUUCCUUUCAAUAAAAAUUCAUCUGUCU
This is a long non-coding RNA of Numida meleagris (helmeted guineafowl), 1664 nucleotides long. The record is from Ensembl. NCBI's taxonomy places the organism in Eukaryota, Metazoa, Chordata, Aves, Galliformes, Numididae.